RNAcentral lists this long non-coding RNA (435 nucleotides) under Ananas comosus (pineapple). RNAcentral's name for it is "long non-coding RNA (ACOM_LNC008930)". The record is from RNAcentral. Lineage: Eukaryota; Viridiplantae; Streptophyta; Magnoliopsida; Poales; Bromeliaceae.
ACCGGCAUAUCAAAAAAAAGCAGCGAAAAAUAAUUUGCACUUUUUAAAAUUUUUCGAAAGCCAAAUACAUAUCAUAUAUGAAAAUCGAAAACCAAUAAAUCAAAUCGUUACCGGUGGAUCAUUCUCAUGUUACUAUACAAAAUUUAAUCUAAACGAAAACUCUUUAUGUUUAGAGAUCUUACCGUGAAACAGAUAAGAUCUCUUGAUUUACUGUACGGUUGAUAGUAUAAAUUGCAAUCAUUGCUCUGAGGUUCUGGGAUAGCCGUGCACGUGCCCGGCCUUUACACAUAUCCAUACGGAAUCGGCUCAUAUCCGAUCGAUUUGCGUCUCACGAACCGGAUGAGUUACAGACUAUUUGGACGGUGCUAGCAAUCCCUUCAUGAAACACGCAUACGGAAGAGAAAUCAAAGAGAAAUUGAUCUCCAUAUAUAUAUA